RNAcentral lists this long non-coding RNA (1179 nucleotides) under Ficedula albicollis (Collared flycatcher). RNAcentral's name for it is "lncRNA (ENSFALG00000019137.2)". The record is from RNAcentral. Lineage: Eukaryota; Metazoa; Chordata; Aves; Passeriformes; Muscicapidae.
CACACACCAGGCUGCAGACCCUCGGGACUGUCACGCCAUCAGGGUCUUGGGAAGCAGCAAAGUCCUGGGUCACAGUGUGGACCCAAGGCUUCCCCUGGUUCUCCCCUGAGUAGGCUGCUGCUGCCUGUGCUCCCUGCCUGCACACCCUGCCUGUGUUCCCCUGCUUGUGCUCCCUGUCUGGGCUUCCUUCCUGCUCUCCCGGCCUGUGCUGUUGCUGCCUGCAGCUCAGUGAUUUGCUGGGUUCAGCUGUGCCCACUGCUCACCCUGCAGCAGUCAGGCACUGUCCUGUGUGCCUGAGCUCCAGCAGAGCCUGCUGCCAGUUGCUGCCUGCUGAUCCAGGCGGGAUCCCUGGCCUCUGGUGGAGCCCAUUGCCAGCCUGUACCUGGUGAUCCACCUGGGAUCCCUGGCCUCACCCUGCAGCUGCAUGUACUGGAACAUGGUAUGGCCUAACCCCACUUUUCCCAGUAGUAACUCCUUGCCCUGCUUCUAGGAGUCAGCCUGUCCCAAAACACCCCUGUCUCCUUUGUUCCUGGGCUUGCUGCUGUUCUUUUGCCUGCUGGCAUUUAACCCUGCCCAAGAUCUCAUCCCGGGAGUGUUCAAAAAUCCAGAUCUUGUCCCUGUUUCAGCAAGUCCCACCUCUGAAUUAACAGAGCAAAAGAUAAUGCAGAAGUUCCCCUUCUGAGCAGCCACUGCAUUUCUGUUUGACUGGGAAUUUCAAUGCAUCCAUUGUACUUUUUUUUUUUUUUUUGUUUAUCAACACGUGGUGGGUAAGACGCCCAAGUGGAGCUGGGACCAGGAUGAGGGCAGACCUCCACAGCCACUGGUCAGCAAACAGCACCACAGCUGGGACCCUCUGCCAUGUCUGCUUUUGCUCUGCAGGGAUCCAGACAGGAAAGUUUGGACAAGGAUACAGACCAAGCUGAAAGGCCUCGCCAUGGAGCAGCUCCUGACAAGGUCUGUGGAAACCAGGAUAUCCCGGAGGAGCUCUGUCAGUUCUCACAUGACCUGCUGAAGGUCAGGCAGAGCCAGCAGUGAAGAGCCCCAACUCUUUCCUUCCCUGGCUGCGCGUGGGCUCACAGGCACGAGUGGAGUCCACAUCUGCUCUGGUCCCUCUGAGCAGAGGCUUUUGUUCUCAGGGUUUGGAGGAUUCCAUCACACAUGAAGGGAGCAGCAGCACUG